GUUUCUUCAGUUUCACAAGUAAGAACAAGUCUGCCGAGCCAGCCGAGGGGAAAAUGGAUUGCGCCAAAGGAUGGUCACGUCAAGAUUAAUGUAGAUGCGGGAGUAUCAGUCCAUCACAAUAUGGGAGUAGCAGCUGCAGUAUGCCGGAGUCAGGAAGGAGUAUAUCUUGGAUCAUCUCUGUUGUCAGUACAAGGUCUUCUCAAUCCAGCAGUUUUAGAAGCUCUUGCAUGCAGGGAGGCGCUGGCUCUUGCUCAGGACUUGGGAGUGCAGAAUGUUCAAGUAGCUUCAUACUGUCAGCAAAUUGUCAACCAUAUCCAUCAAGGAGUCGGAGGAGGGGAUGGAGGAAUCAUCAAAGAAAUUGUAGAAAGCAUUAGACUUUUUUCAGCAUGUAAUUUCUAUUAUGAAUCUCGAAUUUCCAAUGUAGAAGCUCAUAGACUUGCAAGGUUUGGUGUCUCUCUUCCACAAGGGAGACAUAUUUGGCUAGGAUUUCCUCAUGAUCCUAUUGCUAUAGCUGUAAACAUUUUAGCUAAUCAAUAA
RNAcentral lists this ribosomal RNA (537 nucleotides) under Triticum aestivum (bread wheat). RNAcentral describes it as "partial small subunit ribosomal RNA". Lineage: Eukaryota; Viridiplantae; Streptophyta; Magnoliopsida; Poales; Poaceae. The record is from RNAcentral.